Molecule: ribosomal RNA, 441 nt
Filed under: uncultured bacterium
Lineage: Bacteria
Description: partial 16S ribosomal RNA
Rfam family: Bacterial small subunit ribosomal RNA
Source: RNAcentral
CCUACGGGAGACAGCAGUGGGGGAUAUUGCACAAUGGGGGGAACCCUGAUGCAGCGACGCCGCGUGGGUGAAGGAGUGCUUCGGCAUGUAAAGCCCUAUCGGCAGGGACGAAGCAAGACGGUACCUGACUAAGAAGCCCCGGCUAACUACGUGCCAGCAGCCGCGGUAAUACGUAGGGUGCGAGCGUUAUCCGGAUUCACUGGGUGUAAAGGGAGCGUAGACGGCCAUGCAAGCCAGGGGUGAAAGCCCGGGGCCCAACCCCGGGACUGCCCUUGGAACUGUGCGGCUAGAGUGCGGGAGGGGCAGGCGGAAUUCCUGGUGUAGCGGUGAAAUGCGUAGAUAUCAGGAGGAACACCGGCGGCGAAGGCGGCCUGCUGGACCGCGACUGACGUUGAGGCUCGAAAGCGUGGGGAGCGAACAGGAUUAGAUACCCGGGUAGUC